This 253-nucleotide ribosomal RNA is filed under the name uncultured bacterium. RNAcentral's name for it is "partial 16S ribosomal RNA". It matches the Rfam family "Bacterial small subunit ribosomal RNA", at positions 524 to 776 of the family's 1533-position model. The record is from RNAcentral.
UACGAAGGGGGCUAGCGUUGCUCGGAAUCACUGGGCGUAAAGCGCACGUAGGCGGCUUGUUAAGUCAGGGGUGAAAGCCCUGGGCUCAACUCAGGAAGUGCAUUUGAAACUGGCGAGCUUGAAUAUGGAAGAGGGUCGCGGAAUUCCCGGUGUAGAGGUGAAAUUCGUAGAUAUCGGGAGGAACACCAGUGGCGAAGGCGGCGACCUGGGCCAAUAUUGACGCUGAGGUGCGAAAGCGUGGGGAUCAAACAGG